ACGUAUUAAAUGCAGUGCAAUGAAAUGAAUGUGUCGAUUAGAAUGACAUAAAUGAAGGAAAGGCCGAACAACUGCGAGACCUCGACGUAGUGACGUCAACAAGAAGCGGCGAAAGUCAUUCAAUUUCAGCUUCAUUACGGCUGUGAACUGUUGCGUACCAAAAUAUAAUGGAAAUUACACAGCAGAAAACAAAGUUCAUGUCUUCAAAUUUAUUAACGACGAUUUAAUAAGACAUACGAGGCUCCAUUCAAUUCCAUAGCAGGAUAUCAUAGUUACUAAUUAUUCAGUAGUGUGUUGCGGGAAACCAUAGCUUGAUUCAAAUGACCUGCAGGCUUUUUUUCUAUCUCUCCAGCCUACCUAUCUUCAGCUGCAGGAAACCCAGCAGAGCGACCGCAAGAGAAAAGGAUCACGUUGGAGGGAGGAAGCAGUAUUGUUGGAAAGCCUGCAGAGUAGUGUUUCCAGCCAUAAUGAGUAUUUAAAAAGAAUUUCACAAAAAAGCUUGAGGAACUGAAACAUAAAACAAACGCAAUAUCUUUCCAGAAGAAUUCGGUGAAAAUAGUGGAAGAAGAGUGAAUUAUUCUUGUGAGUAUCGAUCUAUCUGUGAGGUUCCACUAUGUAGUGAUUGGUAAUUAUUUGAAAGUGGAGGUCUGUUCAAAAUGAGUUUCGUUAAACAAAGUUCUAGUCACAGAAAAUGGUGUGAAUGCAACUGACUGUGAUGUGCACACCUCAGU
Schistocerca cancellata (South American locust) is the source of this 731-nucleotide long non-coding RNA. RefSeq lists it as uncharacterized. The transcript is spliced from 3 exons. The record is from RefSeq and is a predicted model, not a curated record. NCBI's taxonomy places the organism in Eukaryota, Metazoa, Arthropoda, Insecta, Orthoptera, Acrididae.